UCCUCGGUAGCUCAGUCGGUAGAGCAUCGGACUGUUAAUCCGCUGGUCAGUGGUUCGAGUCCACUCCGGGGAGCCA
This 76-nucleotide transfer RNA is filed under the name Achromatium sp. WMS3. RNAcentral describes it as "tRNA-Asn". It matches the Rfam family "tRNA". Rfam says of the family: Transfer RNA (tRNA) molecules are approximately 80 nucleotides in length. Their secondary structure includes four short double-helical elements and three loops (D, anti-codon, and T loops). Further hydrogen bonds mediate the characteristic L-shaped molecular structure. tRNAs have two regions of fundamental functional importance: the anti-codon, which is responsible for specific mRNA codon recognition, and the 3' end, to which the tRNAs corresponding amino acid is attached (by aminoacyl-tRNA synthetases). tRNAs cope with the degeneracy of the genetic code in two manners: having more than one tRNA (with a specific anti-codon) for a particular amino acid; and 'wobble' base-pairing, i.e. permitting non-standard base-pairing at the 3rd anti-codon position. Lineage: Bacteria; Pseudomonadati; Pseudomonadota; Gammaproteobacteria; Thiotrichales; Thiotrichaceae. The record is from RNAcentral.